This 1001-nucleotide ribosomal RNA is filed under the name uncultured bacterium. Its description in RNAcentral is "bacterial SSU rRNA". It matches the Rfam family "Bacterial small subunit ribosomal RNA", at positions 355 to 1375 of the family's 1533-position model. The record is from RNAcentral.
UGGGGAAUAUUGCACAAUGGGGGAAACCCUGAUGCAGCGACGCCGCGUGGAGGAAGAAGGUUUUCGGAUUGUAAACUCCUGUCGUUAGGGACGAUAAUGACGGUACCUAACAAGAAAGCACCGGCUAACUACGUGCCAGCAGCCGCGGUAAAACGUAGGGUGCAAGCGUUGUCCGGAAUUACUGGGUGUAAAGGGAGCGCAGGCGGACCGGCAAGUUGGAAGUGAAAACCAUAGGCUCAACCUAUGGAUUGCUUUCAAAACUGCUGGCCUUGAGUAGUGCAGAGGUAGGUGGAAUUCCCGGUGUAGCGGUGGAAUGCGUAGAUAUCGGGAGGAACACCAGUGGCGAAGGCGACCUACUGGGCACCAACUGACGCUGAGGCUCGAAAGCAUGGGUAGCAAACAGGAUUAGAUACCCUGGUAGUCCAUGCCGUAAACGAUGAUUACUAGGUGUUGGAGGAUUGACCCCUUCAGUGCCGCAGUUAACACAAUAAGUAAUCCACCUGGGGAGUACGACCGCAAGGUUGAAACUCAAAGGAAUUGACGGGGGCCCGCACAAGCAGUGGAGUAUGUGGUUUAAUUCGAAGCAACGCGAAGAACCUUACCAGGUCUUGACAUCCGAUGCAUAGUGCAGAGAUGCAUGAAGUCCUUCGGGACAUCGAGACAGGUGGUGCAUGGUUGUCGUCAGCUCGUGUCGUGAGAUGUUGGGUUAAGUCCCGCAACGAGCGCAACCCUUAUUGUUAGUUGCCAUCAUUAAGUUGGGCACUCUAGCGAGACUGCCCGGGUUAACCGGGAGGAAGGUGGGGAUGACGUCAAAUCAUCAUGCCCCUUAUGACCUGGGCUACACACGUACUACAAUGGCAGUCAUACAGAGGGAAGCAAAACCGCGAGGUGGAGCAAAUCCCUAAAAGCUGUCCCAGUUCAGAUUGCAGGCUGCAACUCGCCUGCAUGAAGUCGGAAUUGCUAGUAAUCGCAGAUCAGCAUGCUGCGGUGAAUACGUUCCC